Molecule: ribosomal RNA, 1299 nt
Filed under: Triticum aestivum (bread wheat)
Lineage: Eukaryota; Viridiplantae; Streptophyta; Magnoliopsida; Poales; Poaceae
Description: partial small subunit ribosomal RNA
Source: RNAcentral
AUGGCCUUGUCCGGCAGGUGCCGGCCCAUGAUGUACCUCGCCGAGAGCUGCGCCGCGACGACGAUGGCGCGGUCCUGGAUGCGCACGCCGUGGUGCCCCUCGUACUUCUCCUUGAGCCCUCGCAGGAUGCUGAUGGUGUCGGCGACGCUCGGCUCGGCCACGUACACCUGCUGGAACCGCCGCUCGAACGCGGCGUCCUUCUCGACGUACUUGCGGUACUCCUCCAGCGUGGUGGCGCCGAUGCACCGGAGCUGGCCCCUGGCGAGCAUCGGCUUGAACAGGUUGGCGGCGUCCAUGGACCCCUCCGUCCUCCCGGCGCCGAGGACGAGGUGUAUCUCGUCGAUGAAGAGGAUGACCUUGCCCUCGGCCUCCUCCACCUCCUUGAGCACGGCCUUGAGCCGCUCCUCGAACUCGCCGCGGUACUUGGCGCCGGCGACGAGCGCGCCCAUGUCGAGCGCGACGAGGCGGACGUCGAGCAGGUUGCUGGGCACGUCCCCGCGCACGACGCGCUGCGCGAGGCCCUCCACGACGGCCGUCUUGCCCACGCCGGGCUCGCCGAUGAGGACGGGGUUGUUCUUUGUGCGGCGGGAGAGGAUGCGCACGACGCGGCGGAUCUCCUCGUCGCGGCCGAUGACGGGGUCGAGCUUGCCGGCCACCUCGACGAGGUCGCGGCCGUACGUCUUGAGCGCCUGGAAGUUGGUGUCGCCGGAGGCGGACUCGACCUUGCGCGAGUUGUCCCCGCCGCGGAGCUUCUCGAGCUCGGCGCGCACCCGCGAGGCGGACACGCCGGCCUCCUUGAGGCAGUCGGCGAUCUGCGCGUCCUCGAGGAGGCCCAUGAGCAGCUGGUCGACGGCGAGGUGCGAGUCCCCGCGCUUCUUCUGCGCGGACUGCGCGCGCCGGAUGGCCUUGAUGAGCGCCGUGGAGGCCGGCACGGAGUCCGGCGGGGGGGACUGCGACGGCAGCUUCUUGAGCGCGCCGGAGAGCACGCGCUCGAACGAGUCCCCCGCGGACGCGUUCCCGCCGGACGCCCCCGCGACCGCCUGGCGCAGUAUGCCCGACUUGUCCGCCGCCAGCGCCGCCGCCAGGUGCAGCGGCGUGAUCUGCGCGUGGCCGGCCUCCGACGCCGCCUCGUGCGCCGCCACCAGCGCCUCGUUGGUCUUGUGCGUGAAGUUGUCCGGGUUCAUGGCUGCUGCUGCUUGCGCUCGCGCUCUACAAUGGAUCGAACUGACAAGAUUUUGGGUUGGAAGAUUGAUUGGGAUCGGCGAGUGUUUGUGGGAUUGCUCUGCUUCUGGAUUCUGA